ACGUAGGUCCCGAGCGUUGUCCGGAUUUAUUGGGCGUAAAGCGAGCGCAGGCGGUUUAAUAAGUCUGAAGUUAAAGGUAGUGGCUUAACCAUUGUUCGCUUUGGAAACUGUUAGACUUGAGUGCAGAAGGGGAGAGUGGAAUUCCAUGUGUAGCGGUGAAAUGCGUAGAUAUAUGGAGGAACACCGGUGGCGAAAGCGGCUCUCUGGUCUGUAACUGACGCUGAGGCUCGAAAGCGUGGGGAGCAAACAG
Molecule: ribosomal RNA, 250 nt
Filed under: uncultured prokaryote
Description: partial 16S rRNA
Rfam family: Bacterial small subunit ribosomal RNA
Source: RNAcentral